Molecule: small RNA, 56 nt
Filed under: synthetic construct
Description: short hairpin RNA
Source: RNAcentral
GUGCGCUGCUGGUGCCAACCCUUCAAGAGAGGGUUGGCACCAGCAGCGCACUUUUU